This 472-nucleotide ribosomal RNA is filed under the name Escherichia coli. Its description in RNAcentral is "bacterial SSU rRNA". It matches the Rfam family "Bacterial small subunit ribosomal RNA", at positions 880 to 1352 of the family's 1533-position model. The record is from RNAcentral. Lineage: Bacteria; Pseudomonadati; Pseudomonadota; Gammaproteobacteria; Enterobacterales; Enterobacteriaceae.
GUACGGCCGCAAGGUUAAAACUCAAAUGAAUUGACGGGGGCCCGCACAAGCGGUGGAGCAUGUGGUUUAAUUCGAUGCAACGCGAAGAACCUUACCUGGUCUUGACAUCCACGGAAGUUUUCAGAGAUGAGAAUGUGCCUUCGGGAACCGUGAGACAGGUGCUGCAUGGCUGUCGUCAGCUCGUGUUGUGAAAUGUUGGGUUAAGUCCCGCAACGAGCGCAACCCUUAUCCUUUGUUGCCAGCGGUCCGGCCGGGAACUCAAAGGAGACUGCCAGUGAUAAACUGGAGGAAGGUGGGGAUGACGUCAAGUCAUCAUGGCCCUUACGACCAGGGCUACACACGUGCUACAAUGGCGCAUACAAAGAGAAGCGACCUCGCGAGAGCAAGCGGACCUCAUAAAGUGCGUCGUAGUCCGGAUUGGAGUCUGCAACUCGACUCCAUGAAGUCGGAAUCGCUAGUAAUCGUGGAUCAG